UACGGAGGGAGCUAGCGUUGCUCGGAAUUACUGGGCGUAAAGGGCGCGUAGGCGGCACUGUUAGUCAGGCGUGAAAGUCCUGGGCUCAACCUGGGAACUGCGCUUGAUACGGCAGAGCUAGAGGAUGGAAGAGGCUCGCGGAAUUCCCAGUGUAGAGGUGAAAUUCGUAGAUAUUGGGAAGAACACCGGUGGCGAAGGCGGCGAGCUGGUCCAUUACUGACGCUGAGGCGCGACAGCGUGGGGAGCAAACAGG
This 253-nucleotide ribosomal RNA is filed under the name uncultured bacterium. Its description in RNAcentral is "partial 16S ribosomal RNA". It matches the Rfam family "Bacterial small subunit ribosomal RNA", at positions 524 to 776 of the family's 1533-position model. The record is from RNAcentral.